UGCAGAGGGUGCGAGCGUUAAUCGGAGUAACUGGGUGUAAAGGGCGCGUAGGCGGUUUUAUGUGUGGGGUGUGAAAGCCCCGGGCUUAACCUGGGAAGUGCAUCGCAAACUAUAAGACUAGAGUAUAUGAGAGGGUGGCGGAAUUUCCGGUGUAGCGGUGAAAUGCGUAGAGAUCGGAAGGAACGUCGAUGGCGAAGGC
RNAcentral lists this ribosomal RNA (199 nucleotides) under uncultured prokaryote. Its description in RNAcentral is "partial 16S ribosomal RNA". It matches the Rfam family "Bacterial small subunit ribosomal RNA", at positions 524 to 722 of the family's 1533-position model. The record is from RNAcentral.